Long non-coding RNA from Catharus ustulatus (Swainson's thrush), 227 nucleotides. RefSeq lists it as uncharacterized. The transcript has 3 exons. The record is from RefSeq and is a predicted model, not a curated record. NCBI's taxonomy places the organism in Eukaryota, Metazoa, Chordata, Aves, Passeriformes, Turdidae.
AUGGAGACAUCUUGGAAUGUCUGCAGGCAUGGAAGAGGCCUUCCGGGGCUCGGCCCCAGGGGAAGAGCACGUGUCCCCAUGGCCUGUAUCAGUUUGCUCUCCUUUCUCUUUGCUGGUGAUGAUGCACUCUUGGCACAGGUGCUGGAGUUGAAAGAUCUUCUUCGCUCUGAAAUACAGGGAGACAGAGUUUCUGCUGUCAAUCUUCUACUUUCCACAAGGAGCACUGA